UACGGAGGGUGCAAGCGUUAAUCGGAAUUACUGGGCGUAAAGCGCGCGUAGGCGGUUUGUUUAGCGAGAUGUGAAAGCCCCGGGCUCAACCUGGGAAUUGCAUUUCGAACUGGCAGGCUAGAGUACAAGAGAGGGUGGUAGAAUUUCCUGUGUAGCGGUGAAAUGCGUAGAUAUAGGAAGGAAUACCAGUGGCGAAGGCGGCCACCUGGCUUGAUACUGACGCUGAGGUGCGAAAGCGUGGGGAGCGAACAGG
Molecule: ribosomal RNA, 253 nt
Filed under: uncultured bacterium
Lineage: Bacteria
Description: partial 16S ribosomal RNA
Rfam family: Bacterial small subunit ribosomal RNA
Source: RNAcentral